Molecule: ribosomal RNA, 463 nt
Filed under: Streptococcus mitis
Lineage: Bacteria; Bacillati; Bacillota; Bacilli; Lactobacillales; Streptococcaceae
Description: bacterial SSU rRNA
Rfam family: Bacterial small subunit ribosomal RNA
Source: RNAcentral
GACGAACGCUGGCGGCGUGCCUAAUACAUGCAAGUAGAACGCUGAAGGAGGAGCUUGCUUCUCUGGAUGAGUUGCGAACGGGUGAGUAACGCGUAGGUAACCUGCCUGGUAGCGGGGGAUAACUAUUGGAAACGAUAGCUAAUACCGCAUAACAGUAGAUGUUGCAUGACAUUUGCUUAAAAGGUGCAAUUGCAUCACUACCAGAUGGACCUGCGUUGUAUUAGCUAGUUGGUGGGGUAACGGCUCACCAAGGCGACGAUACAUAGCCGACCUGAGAGGGUGAUCGGCCACACUGGGACUGAGACACGGCCCAGACUCCUACGGGAGGCAUGCAGUAGGGAAUCUUCGGCAAUGGACGGAAGUCUGACCGAGCAACGCCGCGUGAGUGAAGAAGGUUUUCGGAUCGUAAAGCUCUGUUGUAAGAGAAGAACGGGUGUGAGAGUGGAAAGUUCACACUGUGACG